This 465-nucleotide ribosomal RNA is filed under the name uncultured bacterium. RNAcentral's name for it is "partial 16S ribosomal RNA". It matches the Rfam family "Bacterial small subunit ribosomal RNA", at positions 338 to 795 of the family's 1533-position model. The record is from RNAcentral.
CCUACGGGAGGCAGCAGUGGGGAAUAUUGCGCAAUGGGCGAAAGCCUGACGCAGCGACGCCGCGUGAGGGAUGAAGGUCUUCGGAUCGUAAACCUCUGUCAGCAGGGAAGAACGGUCACUGUGCUAAUCAGCAGUGAAUUGACGGUACCUGCAAAGGAAGCACCGGCUAACUCCGUGCCAGCAGCCGCGGUAAUACGGAGGGUGCGAGCGUUAAUCGGAAUUACUGGGCGUAAAGCGCUCGUAGGCGGUAUGUCAAGUCAAGGGUGAAAUCCCCGCGCUCAACGUGGGAACUGCCUUUGAAACUGGCAAACUGGAGUGUGGGAGAGGGUAGUGGAAUUCCAGGUGUAGGAGUGAAAUGCGUAGAUAUCUGGAGGAACAUCAGUGGCGAAGGCGACUAUCUGGCACAUAACUGACGCUGAGGAGCGAAAGCGUGGGUAGCAAACAGGAUUAGAUACCCCGGUAGUC